CCCUUCGGGGUGCUCGAGUGGCGAACGGGUGAGUAACACGUGGGUGAUCUGCCCUGCACUUUGGGAUAAGCCUGGGAAACUGGGUCUAAUACCGGAUAGGACCACGCGCUUCAUGGUGUGUGGUGGAAAGCUUUUGCGGUGUGGGAUGGGCCCGCGGCCUAUCAGCUUGUUGGUGGGGUAAUGGCCUACCAAGGCGACGACGGGUAGCCGGCCUGAGAGGGUGACCGGCCACACUGGGACUGAGAUACGGCCCAGACUCCUACGGGAGGCAGCAGUGGGGAAUAUUGCACAAUGGGCGCAAGCCUGAUGCAGCGACGCCGCGUGAGGGAUGACGGCCUUCGGGUUGUAAACCUCUUUCGCCAGGGACGAAGCGCAAGUGACGGUACCUGGAGAAGAAGGACCGGCCAACUACGUGCCAGCAGCCGCGGUAAUACGUAGGGUCCGAGCGUUGUCCGGAAUUACUGGGCGUAAAGAGCUCGUAGGUGGUUUGUCGCGUUGUUCGUGAAAACUCACAGCUUAACUGUGGGCGUGCGGGCGAUACGGGCAGACUGGAGUACUGCAGGGGAGACUGGAAUUCCUGGUGUAGCGGUGGAAUGCGCAGAUAUCAGGAGGAACACCGGUGGCGAAGGCGGGUCUCUGGGCAGUAACUGACGCUGAGGAGCGAAAGCGUGGGGAGCGAACAGGAUUAGAUACCCUGGUAGUCCACGCCGUAAACGGUGGGUACUAGGUGUGGGUUUCCUUCCUUGGGAUCCGUGCCGUAGCUAACGCAUUAAGUACCCCGCCUGGGGAGUACG
RNAcentral lists this ribosomal RNA (794 nucleotides) under Mycolicibacterium sp. Its description in RNAcentral is "bacterial SSU rRNA". It matches the Rfam family "Bacterial small subunit ribosomal RNA", at positions 76 to 884 of the family's 1533-position model. The record is from RNAcentral. Lineage: Bacteria; Bacillati; Actinomycetota; Actinomycetes; Mycobacteriales; Mycobacteriaceae.